GUGCUUACUUUGGCAACAUGUGUACUAAAAUCGAUACAAUUCAGAGAUUAGCAGACCCCUGCUUGAUGUUGAUACACAAAUUCAUAAAGCAUUCUAUAUUUUU
Ailuropoda melanoleuca (giant panda) is the source of this 103-nucleotide small nuclear RNA. The record is from Ensembl. Lineage: Eukaryota; Metazoa; Chordata; Mammalia; Carnivora; Ursidae.